GGUUGGGAUAGCUCAGCUGGUAGAGCAGAGGACUGAAAAUC
RNAcentral lists this transfer RNA (41 nucleotides) under Actinidia kolomikta. RNAcentral's name for it is "partial transfer RNA-Phe". Lineage: Eukaryota; Viridiplantae; Streptophyta; Magnoliopsida; Ericales; Actinidiaceae. The record is from RNAcentral.